RNAcentral lists this ribosomal RNA (910 nucleotides) under uncultured bacterium. Its description in RNAcentral is "bacterial SSU rRNA". It matches the Rfam family "Bacterial small subunit ribosomal RNA", at positions 49 to 969 of the family's 1533-position model. The record is from RNAcentral.
UAACACAUGCAAGUCGAACGGGAUCCAACCAGUGGCAACACUGGGAACGAUCUAGUGGCGAACGGGUGAGUAACACGUGAGGAACCUGCCCCGAUCUCUGGGAUAACAGCGGGAAACCGCUGCUAAUACCGGAUGCCCUCCUCUGGUCGCAUGGCCGGAGAAGGAAAGGAUUCUGGAUUGGGAGGGUCUCGCGGCCUAUCAGCUUGUUGGUGGGGUAACGGCCCACCAAGGCUCCGACGGGUAGCUGGUCUGAGAGGACGACCAGCCACACUGGGACUGAGACACGGCCCAGACUCCUACGGGAGGCAGCAGUGGGGAAUCUUGCGCAAUGGGCGAAAGCCUGACGCAGCAACGCCGCGUGGGGGAUGAAGGCCCUCGGGUUGUAAACCCCUUUCAGCAGGAACGAAACUGACGGUACCUGCAGAAGAAGGUCCGGCCAACUACGUGCCAGCAGCCGCGGUAACACGUAGGGACCAAGCGUUGUCCGGAUUUAUUGGGCGUAAAGAGCUCGUAGGCGGUUCGGUAAGUCGGGUGUGAAAACUCUGGGCUCAACUCAGAGACGCCACCCGAUACUGCUGUGACUUGAGUCCGGUAGGGGAGUGGGGAAUUCCUGGUGUAGCGGUGAAAUGCGCAGAUAUCAGAGGAACACCAACGGCGAAGGCAGCUCGCUGGGACGGUACUGACGCUGAGGCGCGAAAGCGUGGGGAGCGAACAGGAUUAGAUACCCUGGUAGUCCACGCCGUAAACGAUGGGCACUAGGUGUGGGAGGUGUCGACUCCUCCCGUGCCGGCGCUAACGCAUUAAGUGCCCCGCCUGGGGAGUACGGCCGCAAGGCUAAAACUCAAAGGAAUUGACGGGGGCCCGCACAAGCAGCGGAGCAUGUGGUUUAAUUCGAUGCAACGCGAAGAAC